AUGCGUGCCCCGCAUUUAAAGGGCCCGGGCCGCGGGGGUGUGGGCCGCCAUUACGUGGAUCUCGAGGGGCCUACGCGCGAAACUGUGGCGGAUAGAUGCCCGCCCCUCGGUAGUGAACGCGUCGCGCCGCCGUUCAGGUUCAGCUGUUGCCGUCGGCCGGGCCGCGGUGGCGAACGUGGGUGGGCGUGCCGCCAGUCGGAGGGAGGGGACGACGGGCGGCGGCGAAAAGGACGUGACGCUGAUGCGCGACGGAAGAGAUCCCAUCGCCGGACGUCUCCGUUCGUUGUACUGCACCGGGUCGAGCUCGACCGAGGGGGGAGGCUUUACGGCGCUGAAAGUGCUGACGGGAAGCUGGACUGA
RNAcentral lists this ribosomal RNA (360 nucleotides) under Triticum aestivum (bread wheat). Its description in RNAcentral is "partial small subunit ribosomal RNA". Lineage: Eukaryota; Viridiplantae; Streptophyta; Magnoliopsida; Poales; Poaceae. The record is from RNAcentral.